RNAcentral lists this long non-coding RNA (524 nucleotides) under Nicotiana benthamiana. RNAcentral's name for it is "long non-coding RNA (NBEN_LNC025770)". The record is from RNAcentral. Lineage: Eukaryota; Viridiplantae; Streptophyta; Magnoliopsida; Solanales; Solanaceae.
GCACAAUUCCGAGUUUCACUCUCACAAUUCGAAUUUGGCGAUUUUUGACUUCUCAGUUCUCACUCCUCAUAAUUCCGAUUUUUGACUCCUCACUCUUCACUCCUCACAAUUCGACUCUUUUCUCCUCACUCCUCAGUCAUGAACGAACUCAGUAGUUAGUGUUGACUCCUCACUCCUCAGAAAGUCAAUUCUGACUUAGGGCAAGGCGAUAGUUUCAUAAAUUCCGAGCAAACGAAGACCAAAUAUAGAAAGUGAUCGGCUGUUGUUACACUGCUUCUACCAUACUGUUGCUGCUAUACUACUGCUGCUAAUGUGGUCUGUCUAAAAUACUUUUGUUAGAUCUACUCAGGAAGUUUAUGUAGAAGCAUUUGAAGUUUAUCAUGUUUGGUUUGUGAGACUUAUUUGCUAGAUCUGCUGAAAUCGUUUUUGAGUUUGGUUGAAUGUAGAAGCACUAUUAAUACUUGCACAAUUUCACUCGUUCCAGCUAGGCUGAAUUUUGAUGCCACAGGCAUUCCAAGUAGUUC